CGUCUUCCCUCUGGACCUCUGGCCCCCGUUGUUUUCUUCUCCGGCGAGCCGUGCCAACGCUCGAACAGUGCGUGCCCGUGAGCUCGUCCUCUUCCUCGCCGGUGUCCGCUUCCUCCUCUUGUCCUCGAGCCUUGCUCGUCUCCGUGACUCCUUGGCGCUCGUCCGCACCCUCCUCGUCGCCUUCCCGUGCGCCCCCGUGACUGCUGCGGCCGGCAGAGCUGUGGCCGAACUCGCUCGGCGGAGCUCAGCUCGGGUGCCCUUGCCCCGGCUAUAUAUAGCCCGUCCGCGCCUCGUCCGAGCUCAUCUGCAGCUUCCCCGACCCCUUCCACUCCUCCCCUCGACACCCGUAGCUCUCCCCUCGCCUUGGAGCUCCCCUGUCCGCUCCAUGGCCGAAGCAUCGCCGCCGAUCCCCCUCGGCCACUUCUUGGCCAUGGCCCUUCCCCUCCCUUUCUUCGGCGUCCCCUACUCCCUCUGGAUCAUGCGGAGUCCCCGCCGCCCUCCAGUUCCGCCGGGGAAGCCCUGUCGUUGCGACCCUGACCCUGCCUUGCUCCGGCCAUGGCGCCCGAGUCGUGGCGUCGGCACUGUGGGCCGUCCCACGCGACCCCGCGGCCACCAGCAGGCACGGCGUGGAGUGGCAGAGCCCCUCCGCUUGUCAUCCGGCCCCGGGGAGCUGCGAGGCGAUGGCCAGGUCGGCGGCCGGCCCGCCCCUGUUCUCUGCGUCGCGCUGGAGAAGAAGGCCAGGCGGGAGGAGAGGGAAGAUGCCGUGGGCCCUGCCUGUCAUUGUCUCAGCGCUGAUGUGGCGGACCUGCUGACUGGAUUAAGUGGAAGCGCAUUUCAUCCCCGCCCGCCGAAGUGCUUAUUUUGUGAACGUUCACUGCUUGAGUGCAUUUUCUGCCUAAAAAGUGAACGGCCACAACUUUUCAACCGUAACUCCGAUUGAGAAGCUAGGAGGGAGACUCAAGCACACAUGGAGGAAGGAGAAGGAAGAAGGGCAUGAAGGAGUGGAGCCACUGGACACCCGGGUGCCCGGCCGCCCCAGCCUGGGCGCUGCUCGCCGCCCCGGGUGCCCGGCCACCCCGCUGGGCGCUGGCCCUUGCCUCCGGGUGCCCGGGCCGCGACCCCUGGGUGCCCGGCCUCUACCGCGGCUAGGCCGUCGACCCUCUGACCCGUCCGGGUGCCCAGCCCCCCUCUUUGGCGCCUCCCUCAGACCGGUCCGGGUGCCCGGACCCCUUUACCCCAGGUGCCCGAACUCCGCCGAUUUUGUCUAUGUGCAACUCGGGCAAUAUGACCCUUGUACCCCUCUUUCCCUCUUAUUUCGUCCCUAGGCUAUAAGUACUCUCCCCUAGCUCAUAUAGAGGUUGGCAAAGUAUUUGAUAGACACUAGAGAGCUUUGCUCCUUGUAUCGCCUCCUCUUGGAGAUCAAGCCCCCAUCUUGGGAAGAAUCCUUGUGGAUUAUCAAGGCCUCCUCUUGGAGAAGAUCAACAUCAAGACCUCAUCUCCUAGGAGUGGGAAGAACUUUACCCUAGUGCUAAUUUCCUUGAAUUGUUCUUGUAUGCUUGUGGAUCUCAUGUAUGCUACUCUAGUGGAUGUGUUAUUUGGGUUUGUUUGAGUGA
Non-coding RNA from Aegilops tauschii subsp. strangulata, 1613 nucleotides. The record is from RefSeq and is a predicted model, not a curated record. NCBI's taxonomy places the organism in Eukaryota, Viridiplantae, Streptophyta, Magnoliopsida, Poales, Poaceae.